RNAcentral lists this ribosomal RNA (262 nucleotides) under uncultured bacterium. Its description in RNAcentral is "partial 16S ribosomal RNA". It matches the Rfam family "Bacterial small subunit ribosomal RNA", at positions 91 to 354 of the family's 1533-position model. The record is from RNAcentral.
CGGACCGGCGCACGGGUGAGUAACACGUAUGCAACCUGCCCUCUUCAGGGGGACAACCUUCCGAAAGGGAGGCUAAUCCCGCGUAUAUCGGUUUCGGGCAUCCGAGAUCGAGGAAAGAUUCAUCGGAAGAGGAUGGGCAUGCGGCGCAUUAGCUAGACGGCGGGGUAACGGCCCACCGUGGCGACGAUGCGUAGGGGUUCUGAGAGGAAGGUCCCCCACACUGGGACUGAGACACGGACCAGACUCCUACGGGAGGCAGCAG